AAGGCCGAGAGCUGAUGACGAGUUGUCUUUCAGACGACGAAGUGGUUGAUGCCAUGCUUCCAAGAAAAGCUUCUAAGCUUCAGGUAACCAGGAACCGUACCCCAAACCGACACAGGUGGUUGGGUAGAGAAUACCAAGGCGCUUGAGAGAACUCGGGUGAAGGAACUAGGCAAAAUGGCACCGUAACUUCGGGAGAAGGUGCGCCGGUGAGGGUGAAGGACUUGCUCCGUAAGCUCAUGCCGGUCGAAGAUACCAGGCCGCUGCGACUGUUUAUUAAAAACACAGCACUCUGCAAACACGAAAGUGGACGUAUAGGGUGUGACGCCUGCCCGGUGCCGGAAGGUUAAUUGAUGGGGUUAGCGCAAGCGAAGCUCUUGAUCGAAGCCCCGGUAAACGGCGGCCGUAACUAUAACGGUCCUAAGGUAGCGAAAUUCCUUGUCGGGUAAGUUCCGACCUGCACGAAUGGCGUAACGAUGGCGGCGCUGUCUCCACCCGAGACUCAGUGAAAUUGAAAUCGCUGUGAAGAUGCAGUGUAUCCGCGGCUAGACGGAAAGACCCCGUGAACCUUUACUAUAGCUUUGCACUGGACUUUGAAUUUGCUUGUGUAGGAUAGGUGGGAGGCUUUGAAGCGUGGACGCCAGUCUGCGUGGAGCCAACCUUGAAAUACCACCCUGGCAACUUUGAGGUUCUAACUCAGGUCCGUUAUCCGGAUCGAGGACAGUGUAUGGUGGGUAGUUUGACUGGGGCGGUCUCCUCCUAAAGAGUAACGGAGGAGUACGAAGGUGCGCUCAGACCGGUCGGAAAUCGGUCGUAGAGUAUAAAGGCAAAAGCGCGCUUGACUGCGAGACAGACACGUCGAGCAGGUACGAAAGUAGGUCUUAGUGAUCCGGUGGUUCUGUAUGGAAGGGCCAUCGCUCAACGGAUAAAAGGUACUCCGGGGAUAACAGGCUGAUACCGCCCAAGAGUUCAUAUCGACGGCGGUGUUUGGCACCUCGAUGUCGGCUCAUCACAUCCUGGGGCUGAAGCCGGUCCCAAGGGUAUGGCUGUUCGCCAUUUAAAGUGGUACGCGAGCUGGGUUUAGAACGUCGUGAGACAGUUCGGUCCCUAUCUGCCGUGGACGUUUGAGAUUUGAGAGGGGCUGCUCCUAGUACGAGAGGACCGGAGUGGACGAACCUCUGGUGUUCCGGUUGUCACGCCAGUGGCAUUGCCGGGUAGCUAUGUUCGGGAAAGAUAACCGCUGAAAGCAUCUAAGCGGGAAACUUGCCUCAAGAUGAGAUCUCACUGGAACCUUGAGUUCCCUGAAGGGCCGUCGAAGACUACGACGUUGAUAGGUGGGGUGUGUAAGCGCUGUGAGGCGUUGAGCUAACCCAUACUAAUUGCCCGUGAGGCUUGACCAU
This 1397-nucleotide ribosomal RNA is filed under the name Pseudomonas sp. CFBP 13727. RNAcentral's name for it is "partial 23S ribosomal RNA". It matches the Rfam family "Bacterial large subunit ribosomal RNA", at positions 1552 to 2925 of the family's 2925-position model. The record is from RNAcentral. Lineage: Bacteria; Pseudomonadati; Pseudomonadota; Gammaproteobacteria; Pseudomonadales; Pseudomonadaceae.